Molecule: non-coding RNA, 73 nt
Organism: Ostrinia nubilalis (European corn borer)
Lineage: Eukaryota; Metazoa; Arthropoda; Insecta; Lepidoptera; Crambidae
Source: the annotation of a RefSeq genome assembly
GCCGAAAUAGCUCAGUGGGGAGAGCGUUAGACUGAAGAUCUAGAGGUCCCUGGUUCGAGCCCGGGUUUCGGCA